UUUAUUUUUUCCAAUAAGUAAUGAAAAAAUUUUUUGAACAUAAAGAGAGUAUUUUAUUUUGAGUUCAAUUAAUGUUAAAAUUCUCUUAUGUUCACAUUGCGCCUCUUUCUCGGCCUCGAGUUAUGUGCAUGGCGCUGGGCUAUUUUACCGGCAGUCUACGUUCAGCAUUAACUACGAGGGCACAAUACACAGCUGUCUGAAGCGAAUUUUGAAAUAUAUCAACAUGAAAUACUUGAAGGCUUGUGGAAUUGCUGUUACCAUCAUCAAUGUGUUGUUCUCGAUUGUAAUUAUUAGGGCAUUAUUAGAUAUUGGCAUGGUUGAUGGAGAAUGCAGAAAAGAGAAUUGUGCUAAUAUGCCAUUACUUUGGAUUGUAGUUUUAAUCAGCAACAUAAUUUUUAAUGUGUGUAUUCUUGGUUACAUAUUCUACAAUGAGCGAUCUGCAAUUAGAGCGUGGAAAUAUUUUUCAAUAGUAUUUGUUUGUUUGAUCGUUGCGCCAACUUGUGAAGAAACAUUUGUUGGAAAGAUCAAGUUAAUGUUCAUUAUAUUUAUCGUUAAAAUAUUUAUUUCGAUUAUUAUAAUAGUCAUUGUUGAAAAGACAUUACCACAGAAAGAUGAUUUGCCAAAUUCAAUUCAAUUCAAUGCUACAAAUAGAAUACCAACUAAUUCAACCAAUCAAAGAAGUAACUUUGCGACUUCGGCCGGUACUAGAAGAUAUCAUCAGCAUCGACAAUAUGAGAGCUGGAGUGAAGAUGAGAGCAUUGAGUUGCCAAAUACUCAAUUUGAAUAUGAUUUUACAAUUGGUGAACUAUUGAUCAACGGUGGCACUGGCUCAGAUAAAAAUGAUUUUGGGAACUGUGAUGAUUCUGAUAGACAGAAUAAUAGCUCACUCAAUAAUGAUAACGAUGGCUGCUGUCAGGUCUCAAACGAUGAUAAUUGUGGAGGUGGUUAUGAUUAUAGUUGCACAAAUGAUUAUGAAUCUAAUAAUUGUGGUUGCGAUGACUCUGGAGGUUAUGACUGUGGUGACGGCGAUGAUUAAGUUAUCAUAAAUGUAAUGCAAUUACAUAUUCACGUACUAAUUAGUUCACAAUAAUUCAUUACAUGUUUAUAAUCUUAAAUACAAUAUUCUGCUAUACCGAUUGCACUUACAACAAAAUAACAGCUUUUCAUGUCAUCUAUUGAAGAACAUUCACCCUUCGGUGUUCAGCUCGGUGCUUCAUAUACAUUUUAUAUAUGUGUAUAUACUCAUAUGUAUUUGUAUUGUCUAUAGAUUUACAUUCCACACUAGAUUCCGCUAUCUGAAGCUUUCGUACGCAGUUAGAAAGCUUAGGUUUCAGUUUGAACUGAUCCGUCUCCGACAACACGUGUGUAUUCCUUUAUGUAAAUUACAGUUGAAUGUUUGUAAAUGGUAUAACUGAAAACUUUUCAAUAUGGCAUACCAUAUUUGUGGCGCUACAGUAUCAUUCUUAAAUUUGUUGUAUUCCCUUGGGUACUUUGCAAUCGUGUUCGCAGACAUGGUCACAGGCGAUGUCGACAGAAGGCAUUUGCAUUGGCCUUGGCUUGUGGUCUACGCUGUGAAUAUGUGCGUAAACACAUUUAUGUUCAGACGCUAUUACAGAGCCCAACAAGUAGGCAUUUGGUUUUGGUUCUUUAUUAGUUUCAUCACUCUUCUAUUACAUAUCUAUAAGAUUCAAUUCGGUAAAUUAAGUUCAACUAUCAGAACUAUAAAUGAAUUCAUUUGUUUUUACAUAUUUAUCACGCUAAUUAUUAUGCUCUUUAUGAAGAGUAUUUUAAAAGAGAAAACAGACGAAACUAUUGAGCCAGCAAAAUCUAGAAGAAAAUCAGGAAGUGGUGCCGGAUCAUCUGUAGAUGAAAUUUGUGAUGCACCUGCCGCCGUAGUAAUGGGACCUCCUUUAUCAAUUACAUUUCAGCAUGUUUCCCCAAGUCCCGCAGGUCACGACGAAGACUGUGGCAACGAUAAUGGAUCUGCAUGUGAUGACUCAGAUGGAGGACACGGAGAUUGCGACGACGGUGGAGACUGUUGCGGCGAAUGAAAAAGAUAUAUUACAUUUUCUUCCGCAUUUCAAUUGAUUCCUUGUGUUCUAUGCCACUUGUUGAUGUUUUUGCCAUUUUUAUCUCUCGCUUACCUAAAUUCUCUCUUUGGAAUAAGCUCUCAAUACUGACAACUAAUUGGCUAGGUUUCGCGCUUUUUACUCAAACAAAAUAUUGUUGUAACCGCCCACAAAAAAAAAAUCAAAUGUGCAUUCAUGUGCAUUCAGUAUUUUAUUACGCUUAAAUUAUAUUGUUACAAUAUUCAGUGUCAGUGGAAAUAUAAU
Molecule: long non-coding RNA, 2333 nt
Organism: Drosophila nasuta
Lineage: Eukaryota; Metazoa; Arthropoda; Insecta; Diptera; Drosophilidae
Exons: 5
Source: RefSeq, a predicted model, not a curated record